GCUGCCCUCCGGCUCUGCGCCGCGACCCCUGCGGCUGCGGGAGGCUGCGGUAUUCCACCCCAGGCAAGGGGUGCAAACCGGGAUGCAUUUGGGGACUAGGAGCCCUUACGCCUCCUUGUGUUCGCCCCUCACUUGCCCCCAAGUUCACCCCCAGGAAUUAACUACACCCCAGUUUAUGGAGCUCCCCAGUGGGUUCACAUUUCCCUGCUCACUUUAUUUCCAUUGGCCCUGGAAGAUGUGCCACAGGGAGUUCAGGGAUCAGCCGCAUGGACUCCCUGUUCCUGUUCCCCAUCUGUCUUCUCCCCCUCCCUGGGAAACAGGUGUGUCUGAGCCUGGGCUGGAAGCAGACCCUGAGUGCUGGAUGAAGGGCCUUGGAGUUAUUGAAGUUGAAGGCGAAAAUAGAACUCCAUGAGGUGGCAGGCAUUGGUCUGAGCAAGAGAGAGAGUUCAAGCCUGCUUUUAC
Molecule: long non-coding RNA, 462 nt
Organism: Urocitellus parryii (Arctic ground squirrel)
Lineage: Eukaryota; Metazoa; Chordata; Mammalia; Rodentia; Sciuridae
Source: RefSeq, a predicted model, not a curated record